GGGGACGAAAUGGUCUCGACGGGCAGUAGAAGGGCGGUAGAACUGCAUGCCGGGCUUUCUCGCUAUCCCGUACAAUUAGCGAGAAAAGGCUAAAAUGCCGACUAUAAUUACGCUCUGGCUGCCUAAUUAAUUAAGGCAGCCCGUCCCCUGUAACCUGGCCUGCCAGGGUUACAGAGGGGCGUCGCCAAUGGCAGGGUGACCGGCUGAAUGGCUCGGGUUCAGCCGGUCGAGAUUCCACCGGGCUCGCCACCGGAAGGCUCGCCUGGCUGCCCGCCGGUGGUUAAAGCCAAUCGCCAGGCUAAGCAUGUAGAGGUUCUACUGACCUCCUGCCCGGACGCGGGUUCGAUUCCCGCCGUCUCCACCA
Molecule: transfer-messenger RNA, 364 nt
Filed under: Calditrichia
Lineage: Bacteria; Pseudomonadati; Calditrichota
Also listed under: 1 other name
Description: J042 sp003696445 Standard tmRNA
Rfam family: transfer-messenger RNA
About the family: Bacterial tmRNA, also known as 10Sa RNA or SsrA, is named for its dual tRNA and mRNA-like properties. Its role is to liberate the mRNA from a stalled ribosome.
Source: RNAcentral